Non-coding RNA from Pelobates cultripes (western spadefoot toad), 242 nucleotides. Lineage: Eukaryota; Metazoa; Chordata; Amphibia; Anura; Pelobatidae. The record is from the annotation of a GenBank genome assembly.
UGUGUGUGUGAGUGCUGGAUGAUGGGUGUUUGUGUGAGUGCUGGAUGAUGGGUGUUUGUGUGAGUGCUGGAUGAUGGGUGUUUGUGUGAGUGCUGGAUGAUGGGUGUUUGUGUGAGUGCUGGAUGAUGGGUGUUUGUGUGAGUGCUGGAUGAUGGGUGUGUGAGUGCUGGAUGAUGGGUGUGUGAGUGCUGGAUGAGGGGUGUGUGAGUGCUGGAUGAUGGGUGUGUGAGUGAUGGAUGAUG